RNAcentral lists this transfer RNA (75 nucleotides) under Leptothrix sp. (in: b-proteobacteria). RNAcentral describes it as "tRNA-Arg". It matches the Rfam family "tRNA". Rfam says of the family: Transfer RNA (tRNA) molecules are approximately 80 nucleotides in length. Their secondary structure includes four short double-helical elements and three loops (D, anti-codon, and T loops). Further hydrogen bonds mediate the characteristic L-shaped molecular structure. tRNAs have two regions of fundamental functional importance: the anti-codon, which is responsible for specific mRNA codon recognition, and the 3' end, to which the tRNAs corresponding amino acid is attached (by aminoacyl-tRNA synthetases). tRNAs cope with the degeneracy of the genetic code in two manners: having more than one tRNA (with a specific anti-codon) for a particular amino acid; and 'wobble' base-pairing, i.e. permitting non-standard base-pairing at the 3rd anti-codon position. Lineage: Bacteria; Pseudomonadati; Pseudomonadota; Betaproteobacteria; Burkholderiales; Sphaerotilaceae. RNAcentral also lists the same sequence under 2 other names. The record is from RNAcentral.
GGCUCCAUGGUUCAAUGGAUAGAACAGCCCCCUCCUAAGGGGCAGAUGCAGGUUCGAUUCCUGCUGGGGCCACCA